RNAcentral lists this ribosomal RNA (433 nucleotides) under uncultured bacterium. Its description in RNAcentral is "partial 16S ribosomal RNA". It matches the Rfam family "Bacterial small subunit ribosomal RNA", at positions 29 to 507 of the family's 1533-position model. The record is from RNAcentral.
AACGAACGCUGGCGGCAUGCCUAACACAUGCAAGUCGAACGAGACCUUCGGGUCUAGUGGCGCACGGGUGCGUAAAGCGUGGGAACCUGCCCUUAGGUUCGGAAUAACUCCCCGAAAGGGGUGCUAAUACCGGAUAAUGUCUUCGGACCAAAGAUUUAUCGCCUUUGGAUGGGCCGGCGUUGGAUUAGCUAGUUGGUAGGGUAAAAGCCUACCAAGGCGACGAUCCAUAGCUGGUCUGAGAGGAUGAUCAGCCACACUGGGACUGAGACACGGCCCAGACUCCUACGGGAGGCAGCAGUGGGUAAUAUUGGACAAUGGGCGAAAGCCAGAUCCAGCAAUGCCGCGUGAGUGAUGAAGGCCUUAGGGUUGUAAAGCUCUUUUACCCGGGAUGAUAAUGACAGUACCGGGAGAAUAAGCUCCGGCUAACUCCGUG